ACACGUAAGGGGCAAGCGUUGUUCGGAAUUAUUGGGCGUAAAGGGCGUGUAGGCGGUUUUGCAAGUCUGGUGUUAAAUCUCACAGCUUAACUGUGGAAGAGCGCUGGAAACUGCAGGACUAGAGUCUAGGAGGGGAAGCUGGAAUUCCAGGUGUAGGGGUGAAAUCUGUAGAUAUCUGGAAGAACACCGGUGGCGAAGGCGAGCUUCUGGCCAUAGACUGACGCUGAUGCGCGAAAGCGUGGGGAGCGAACAGGAUUAGAUACCCUGGUAGUCCACGCUGUAAACAAUGUGCACUAGGUGUUGGGCAGGAUUGUUCAGUGCCGUAGCAAACGCGAUAAGUGCACCGCCUGGGGAGUAUGCUCGCAAGGGUGAA
This 373-nucleotide ribosomal RNA is filed under the name uncultured bacterium. Its description in RNAcentral is "bacterial SSU rRNA". It matches the Rfam family "Bacterial small subunit ribosomal RNA", at positions 523 to 898 of the family's 1533-position model. The record is from RNAcentral.